Molecule: ribosomal RNA, 253 nt
Filed under: uncultured bacterium
Lineage: Bacteria
Description: partial 16S ribosomal RNA
Rfam family: Bacterial small subunit ribosomal RNA
Source: RNAcentral
UACGGAGGGGGCGAGCGUUUAUUCGGAAUUAUUGGGCGUAAAGGGCGCGUAGGCGGCUGUACAAGUCAAAGGUGAAAUCCCUCGGCUCAACUGAGGAACUGCCUUUGAAACUGUACGGCUUGAGGCCGGGAGGGGGUAGCGGAAUUCCCAAUGUAGCGGUGAAAUGCGUAGAUAUUGGGAGGAACACCAGUGGCGAAGGCGCUACCUGGACCGGUUCUGACGCUGAGGCGCGAAAGCGUGGGUAGCAAACAGG